Long non-coding RNA from Dermacentor albipictus, 643 nucleotides. RefSeq lists it as uncharacterized. The record is from RefSeq and is a predicted model, not a curated record. Lineage: Eukaryota; Metazoa; Arthropoda; Arachnida; Ixodida; Ixodidae.
GCAGUUAAGAGAAACUCUCAAGGAGCAUGCGCAAAUCGUUAAUCUCGUUACGCAAACGCGCCACAGUGUCGCACAGUGAUGCAUGUUAGUCGGCACUGGUGUAUGCGGUGCAUUAAUUUUCAGUCGGUCUUCGUGAACGUUCCACAGUCAACAUCGUGUCAUGGCGGCCAAAGCAACGCUCUUGCUAACCAUGGCGUGUGCGACGCUGCUUACUUUUGUGAGUGAGGCAGAGGGCAUCCUGUGUGCUUCGGACUACUGCGAAAAACGGGGACCAUGCAAGCCUGUCGACGCAGCUGCCUGCGACGGAGUCGUAAAACCAAACGCCACUUUCUGUGCCUGCUGUCCUGCCUGCAUCAAAUUACUCGGCUAGUAAAUGGCGCUUAGAACUCGUGCGAGCCCGAAAGGCCGCAAACUCUUGAACCGUUAACCAGCCCACUACUUCUAGAGAAGCUUUGAAUGAGUCAUGUCUACCAUUGGUGCCAAGGGGAAUCCCGCCUACCGCCGAAUGCAGGAAAGGUUUAUCUUGCAACACUAAUACGGGGACAUGCCUCCCAAUAACUGGAAAGUAACCUUGAACGUGGAAUCUGGUCUUCUGCUUUAGCGUUGCCUCCGUGAAAUCAAAUAAAUGGGAGAUGAAUGGUGA